RNAcentral lists this ribosomal RNA (305 nucleotides) under uncultured bacterium. RNAcentral's name for it is "bacterial SSU rRNA". It matches the Rfam family "Bacterial small subunit ribosomal RNA", at positions 335 to 637 of the family's 1533-position model. The record is from RNAcentral.
AUGCCUACGGGGGGCAGCAGUGAGGAAUAUUGGUCAAUGGCCGAGAGGCUGAACCAGCCAAGUCGCGUGAGGGAUGACGGCCCUACGGGUUGUAAACCUCUUUUGCCGGGGAGCAAAGAGCGGGACGCGUCCCGCCUCGAGAGUACCCGGAAAAAAAGCAUCGGCUAACUCCGUGCCAGCAGCCGCGGUAAUACGGAGGAUCCGAGCGUUAUCCGGAUUUAUUGGGUUUAAAGGGAGCGUAGAUGGGUUGUUAAGUCAGUUGUGAAAGUUUGCGGCUCAACCGUAAAAUUGCAAUUGAUACUGGC